AUUGAACGCUGGCGGCAGGCCUAACACAUGCAAGUCGAGCGGAUGAAGGGAGCUUGCUCCUGGAUUCAGCGGCGGACGGGUGAGUAAUGCCUAGGAAUCUGCCUGGUAUUGGGGGAUAACGUCCGGAAACGGGCGCUAAUACCGCAUACGUCCUGAGGGAGAAAGUGGGGGGGCGUCGGACCUCACGCUAUGAGAUGAGCCUAGGUCGGAUUAGCUAGUUGGUGGGGUAAAGGCCUACCAAGGCGACGAUCCGUAACUGGUCUGAGAGGAUGAUAAGUCACCUUGGAAGUGAGACACGGUCCAGACUCCUACGGGAGGGAGCAGUGGGGAAUAUUGGACAAAGGGCGAAAGCCUGAUCCAGCCAUGGCGCGUGUGUGACGAAGGUCUUCGGAUUGUAAAGCACUUUAAGUUGGGAGGAAGGGCAGUAAGUUAAUACCUUGCUGUUUUGACGUUACCAACAGAAUAAGCACCGGCUAACUUCGUG
RNAcentral lists this ribosomal RNA (484 nucleotides) under uncultured bacterium. RNAcentral's name for it is "partial 16S ribosomal RNA". It matches the Rfam family "Bacterial small subunit ribosomal RNA", at positions 30 to 507 of the family's 1533-position model. The record is from RNAcentral.